RNAcentral lists this ribosomal RNA (253 nucleotides) under uncultured bacterium. RNAcentral describes it as "partial 16S ribosomal RNA". It matches the Rfam family "Bacterial small subunit ribosomal RNA", at positions 524 to 776 of the family's 1533-position model. The record is from RNAcentral.
UACGUAGGGGGCUAGCGUUGUCCGGAUUUAUUGGGCGUAAAGAGCGUGUAGGCGGCCAUGUAGGUCCGGUGUGAAAACUCGAGGCUUAACCUCGAGAUGUCAUCGGAAACCAUUUGGCUAGAGUCCGGAAGAGGAGAGUGGAAUUCCUGGUGUAGCGGUGAAAUGCGCAGAUAUCAGGAGGAACACCGGUGGCGAAGGCGGGACUCUGGGCCGAUACUGACGCUGAGGAGCGAAAGCGUGGGGAGCAAACAGG